RNAcentral lists this unclassified non-coding RNA (253 nucleotides) under Hevea brasiliensis (rubber tree). The record is from RNAcentral. Lineage: Eukaryota; Viridiplantae; Streptophyta; Magnoliopsida; Malpighiales; Euphorbiaceae.
AAGCUCAUUAUUUGGGUUGGUAUUAACCACAGUAGGAAGAGAAGCAUGGGGGAGGGUUUUUACAGAGGAUGAACAAGUUCUUGAGCUAAGUAUGACUGUACUGCCGAUAAUUGGACUAUGUGAGCUAGCGAAUUGUCCACAAACCACUAGUUGUGGGAUUUUAAGAGGAAGUGCUAGGCCCGGUAUUGGGGCAGGAAUAAACUUGUACUCGUUUUACUUGGUGGGCGCACCAGUGGCCAUAGUCUUAGGCUUU